CACUCUCUAACUAAUUAGGUCACUACAAAUUCUCUAAAAUAGUGAGAAACAACGCCAAGUGAGUCUUUGAAAUUGUAUUACUUUAUACAAAACAAGCUCUUGGCUUAAAUAUGAAUGUCCAUGGGCGGGGUCGCCUCUGAGUUUAUGUGAUAACACAAACUUUGCUUUUAAUCUAGUUUAAUUUUUAUUGUUGCAAGUUCAUAUUUCAAAGGGUAAUAACUAUCUUCCAUUAUUUACAGUGAUUCCCCUUUAACAGCUAUUGUCAUUUUUUUUGUUCAAUCGAUCGUUUAGCUUUUCUUGAGAGAUAAGUUUUAUUUUGUGACGCAUGGUAGAAAAAGAUGUUUUACUUUGUCU
This is a non-coding RNA of Biomphalaria pfeifferi, 354 nucleotides long. The record is from the annotation of a GenBank genome assembly. NCBI's taxonomy places the organism in Eukaryota, Metazoa, Mollusca, Gastropoda, Planorbidae.